This 468-nucleotide ribosomal RNA is filed under the name uncultured bacterium. RNAcentral describes it as "partial 16S ribosomal RNA". It matches the Rfam family "Bacterial small subunit ribosomal RNA", at positions 28 to 507 of the family's 1533-position model. The record is from RNAcentral.
GACGAACGCUGGCGGCGUGCUUAACACAUGCAAGUCGAACGGAGAGGCCCUGCGGUGGUGGUGUGCUCGGAAGGCGAGAGGGUGAGUUACGCAACAUUACCCCGGCCCUGGGUUUAGUCUAACUUCUGGAGGCUAAGGCUGGUAGCGCACCGCAGCUCGCGCGGCAGGGGGUGGGAUGGAUAGUUGCCGCGGGUGGGGCUGGCCGCGCGGCUUAUCAGCUUGUUGGUGGGGGAGUGGCUUACCAAGGCCUGGACGGGUAGCCGGCCUGAGAGGGUGACCGGCCACACUGGGACUGAGAUACGGCCCAGACUCCUACGGGAGGCAGCAGUGGGGAAUAUUGCGCAAUGGGCGGAAGCCUGACGCAGCAACGCCGCGUGCGGGAUGACGGCCUUCGGGUUGUAAACCGCUUUCGGCUGUGACGAAGCGUGAGUGACGGUAAUGGGUGAAGAAGCACCGGCUAACUACGUG